This 6706-nucleotide long non-coding RNA is filed under the name Homo sapiens (human). RNAcentral describes it as "HSALNT0078913". Lineage: Eukaryota; Metazoa; Chordata; Mammalia; Primates; Hominidae. The record is from RNAcentral.
GGUGUUGAAUAGGGCUGCAGAAAUCUGGAGGCUUGACAGCGUCAGGAGGUCUAAGAUGUCUCUUUCAUAUGGCUUGCAGUUGGUGAUGGCAGUCGCCUGAAAGGUCAACUGGGUCUGUCAACUGGAGUGCCUCAGUUCACCUCUAUGGGCUUCUCCAUGGGGCUGGAAGGAAAGCAUCACUACCUGGGAAUUUAUGGAAUGCCUAUAGACAUAGAAUUCCACACAACAUCCAACCAGAGAACCCACUUUAACUGUAAUACAAGAGCAAGGUGGGCCCAUGAUUAUGCAAUUUAUUAGUCAUAUUACACACUGCUUCUCCCACACUGCCCAGAAGCUGCUGGGGUUUUAAAGUGUUGAGCAACUUGCUGAAGGGGCAACUGAUGCACUAGCUCACAAGAGGUGCCCUAUGAGAUGCAGCACCAUCCUCCAGGAAGCAGAACAAUCAUUGAAUCAGACCUCACUGUGGCACCGCAUUUUCAUCAGGAAUCAUCAGGUUCCCAUGGGUCUGGGACCAAGGGAUAGCAGUAGAAUCGGCCCCACUUACUAUCAUUCCCAAAGAUCUACUGGGGUACUCUGCAGAUUCCUGCCUGGGCUCUCUGAAGGAUGAGAAGCCCUCAUUUCUAAAGGGGGCAUGCACUCACCCAGGGAAAUAGCAAGAGAUUCCCUGAAAUACAGGAUACAGCUGCCCCUUGAACACUUUGGGAUAUUUAUGUCCAGGGAUCACCAAACAAGAAAAGAAGUCAUCAGCUUGUCAUAAUUGACCCUAAAAUGCAUGAGAAAGAAGAUUUCCUGGUAUAAGAGACAAGCAGGAAUAUACGUAGCACUCAAGUGAUCCAAUUUGAGCAUCUCUUGCCACUCUUUGCCCAUAUAAAUGGAAACAUGCAGCAGGCCUAGCCAGAGAAGUUUAUGUUUAAUGGGGAAUUCUACUCCAGAAAAACUGCCAAGGCCAACAUAGAGUGAAAAGAAUUUAGAAUGGAUAGUGGAGGAGAAAAAUGAUGAGUUCCAGCUGUAGCAUAGAGACCAACUGCAGAGACAGGGGCUCCAUUUUGUCUCUGAACUAUCCCUCAGGAAAUUAGGCCCACCAGAGCCCUUGAGGAGCUAGCUAUUUCCAAAUAUCUUGGAGAAAAGACUCGCUGACCAGAAGAAAGAAGGUGACUACCCGGCAGCCUCCAGUUGUCUACUUCUUCAGGAUUCACCUCAGUGUUCAAGCCACGUUCAAAUUCUUCUUGGAAAGACCCUGGUUCAUGACUGAGCAAGGCAGUGGUAGCAGAGGUUAGACCCUUCUUUGGGUGGUGCCCAGCCAACAACGAGCGUGGCAGUGGCGUAAGGGCCUAGUCCUUUGUUUACCAUGCAGUCCUCCUCCAAUGGGCAGUCAUUACUGUGGAACUUCUUGUUGGGCUGGCACAGACAUUGUAAGGUCUUUAUCAUGUUCUGAUGAUUCCCUCUUCUCAGUAUUGCUUCUUCAGCUUCUCUUUCACAGGACUUACUCUUCAGUAAAAUAUUUGCACUCUUAAUUCCAUCUCAGUUUCUGCCCUCCAGAGGAUCUAACCUGAAAUACAUUUUAUUCAUUUUUGUAACCAGAUUACUUAGCAUAGUACCUGGAACAUAAUAGGUGCUCAAUAAAUAUGUGAUAACAGGACUCACUUUAUUUACUGCAGUCUAUGGCAAACUAUAUACCUAGUCAUGGUCUAGUAACAUGGCAGAGGCAAACAAAUUUCCUUUCUUGUUUUUUACUUUUAUCUUCUGAUUCAAGAAACCUUUAACGAUUUGAAUGCAGCAAAGAUGAUGAUGUUUUUGUUGGCUUUUUAUUCAUUAAAAUGAGACACAAUCUAAUUCUUCUAAGUCCUUUAUAAUUUUCUGAGGCAGAAAAUUUUCCAGGCUGGGAAAAGAAGACAAAUUUGUAUUUACAUCACAGGGCAUUUUCACCAGAUAUUUUUCUCAAAUGACUAACGAUGUGUUCAUCACAGCCAGUCAAAUUUGAGUUGCUACCCAUAGGGACAAGACAGUAGAAAUAGCCCAUCAGCCAAAAAAACCACAUAAAAGCCUUCAGUGCAACUCUGAAGCCACCCACGCAGCUGCCUGAGCAAUCAGUCAGGGCACAGAGGCAGGAACUCAACUCAUGUGGUGGCUAAAAGACUGUUUGAAGAGCUUGGCAAAAGCUUGUGGAUUUCAUAAAGGGGCUUUUACAAUGAGAAACAAAAAAUGAUUUAGAUCAGCUGCCCCCACUGCAAAUACAGUUUCAUGUGUCACUUUGUGGACGGCUUUGCCACUAUAUAUGAUGCUUUGCUUCAGAGAACUAAUAUAAAUAGCACUAUUGAAAUGUACUGCACAGAACGAGAGCAAUUCUGAGAGCACCUCUAGACAGAUGAGAAUCGUCUAUCUCUGGGUCAAAGUAUUUAAAAGGAAAAAACUUGGGCAAUUGUUUUUAUCUCAGGGAUGAGAAGAAAUGCCCCAACAAAUUUUCUUUGAGCAUACUAGUGACAAAGUGAGUGAAAAGCUGACCUCUGUACUAAAAACCUGAUACAUUCUCUACAGCAAUGGUUCCCAGGGGUGUCAAGUUCAUGUACCUUGCAAAGCAGAAUCAAAAUUUGAGGAACCUUACAGAACGGCUGUAAAUUCCCACUGUACCCUUUGUAUUCCUACUAAAAGUCCUACAGUCAUUUUUGAGUAUGAAUUUUGGAGUCAUUUAUAGCAAUCAUUUGAGUGAAGUAUUAUGCAAAAACCCAUGAAGUCUGCUAAUGCAUAUACCUGGCUCUUAACUUGGCCAGCAUGCCAACAUUGAACUUCCUCUUGGACAGAGGCCACCCAUUAUUAUGAGUUGUGCUAAAGCCUGUAGUGGUUUUGAGAUUGAAAGUAAAUGCAGUUAAAGACCGGGGCUAUAAACCCCUGUUCACUUGAGACAUAAAGAGCCUGGUAUGUGUAUAAGUAAGCCCUCCAUUCUACCCUUUUAGGAGAGACAAAAUAAUUUGGUGUUCUUCUACCACUCAAUUUAUAUUCAAAUUAAAAUAUAAUAAUUUUUCCUGUGUGGAAUGUCCUUGCUGUUUUGUUUUGUCAGGGCAAAAGAAACUCAUUUAAUUAAAAGAACCCUUAAACACAUAAAGCACAAUUGACUUCAUCUAAAGAGAAUUUUUUUCACAUGUUCAUGUAAGUAUUUGUAAUUUCUUUAUACUGAAUACAAACAAACACCCUGUUUUCUUGGCAUAUUAAACAACUGCUGCAUAUGUCUUCUGACUUAAUUCUCAGGAUACAGAGUGAAUUUUGCAAGUAAAUUCAAUUUCAUGUGCUAAAUACAUCUCUUUUAAAAGGAAAAUGAAUUGACUUCAAUGGAAGCUUCUGAUGCAAGCCCUCUAAAUGCAAAAUGCUAGAGGAACUUUGCAAAUCUAUUACCUUUAAUACUAUACUGUACCUCUAAUUUCUCUUUAACUGCUAGCCACGAAAAUGGUUGCUUUUUAAAACUCACCUUGCAAAUGGUUAAAACACAUACGCGCAAUAGACUAUGGUUUUAACCAGCAUUGGGUUUUCAAAGGUUUAAAUGUUACAUAGCAGCAAAAAAGAAAAAGAAGGGAGAAAUGGUAAAAAGUAGCAUUUUUGAGAAUUUAAUAUGUGCCAAACAUUUAUGAAGCACAUUAUAUAGUUUCUGGUGGCCAUAUAAAGAGGGUAGCAAGUCCAGUUGCUCAUCAUGUUUAUCAACACAUACUAUAUUACACUUCUUGGGAGCCAACUGCAAUUUCUAUUACAAGAGACACUGGAAAACUGUUUAUGCUAAUGAGAAGUCUACUUUUUCCUAGUAUCAAUUAAAAGAAAAUCUUCAUAUCAGAUGCACGUACUUUCUUUUAAAUAAUUUAGUGAGCAUAAUACUCAUGCCAUACCAAGAGAAAAAGUAUACAAAAUAGUGUUUUGGCACCUUUGGUUUCAAGUAAAUAAUAUCAAUAGUUUGAACAGAUGAUUUCUGAGUGACAAGAAAUUAAUCAGUAUAUGCUGGGCUGGAAAGCAUAAUAUAACUCAAGAAGAAAUUCCAAUUCUGAAGACUGGAGGUAUUAUUAGAUGUCAUAAAGAGAACACCUGGGAAGUUACAAGAUCUCAUCUGAAGCUAUCUAUAUGAGAAAGAUGAUGGCCCAGUUACCUACUGAUGCAUAACAAACUACCCCAAAUGCUGGUGGCUUAAAACAAUUUAUUAGUAGGAGUAGUAUGUCUCACUCUGGGUCUAUUAUGUCUAUUUUGUGGGUUAGAAUUUGGACAGGGUACAGUGGAGACUGUCUUUGCUCAACAAUGUCUGGGAUAAUUCAAAUGGCUAGGGGCUGGAAGAGAUGGGAAAAGGGCCCAGCCAUCUCUCUCUUUCUCUCAAUCUCUCUCCCUUUUCAAGCCUAUGUGGCUACCUAGGGUCUCCUCAAUGUAUGGUAGCAGGCCUGUCAGACUUCUCAGAUGGUAACUGAGAGUCCAAGAGGACCAGACAGACUGGCAUGGCAUUUCUUCUGCCAUACUUCGGUGGUCAAAGCAGUCACUGGUCAGCAGGUCAGGAGGAGAGCGACUAGAUCACACUUCACACUUCUCAAGAUAUAGAUAAUCAGGGAAUUAUGGCCCUUUUUAGUGAACCACAGAUGAACGAUAGAGACAUUUAAAAAUUUCAGGCAUAAAAAGUCACGAUUUCUUUUUAAGAGUAUUUCAGAUGGAGGCCGGGCACAGUGGCUCACACCUGUAAUCCCAGCACUUUGGGAGGCCAAGGUGGGCAGAUCACUUCAGGUCAGCAGUUCAAGACUAGCCUGGCCAACAUGCCAAAACUCUGUCUCUAAAAUACAAAAAUUAGCCAGGCGUGGUGGCGUGCACCUGUAAUUGCAGCUUCUUGAGAGGCUGAGGCAUAAGAAUUGCUUGAAUCUGGGAGGCAGAGGUUGCAGUGAACCGAGAGUGUGCCACUGCACUGCAGCCUGGGUGACAGAGCAAGACUGUCUCAAAAAAUAAAAAUAAGAAUACGAGUAUUUCAGAUGGAAAAACAAAAUUUACUUGAGUUGUCCAGACACAUGCAUUCUAAACUCAAAUGAAUAAGCACAUUUCAAAAAUAUUAUAUUGGAUCCCACUUCUUUUAUCCUAAAUCUUUGUCCUAUUUUGGUUUUUUGUGUCCUUGAUAUUUAAUAGCAAUGAUAUUUAAAACAUGAUAUUUUAAUCCAUGACAAUAGCAUCAUUUUCUCCUCUACUGUAAAAUAACCAACCAAGAAAGGCAAUCUAUUAGGAACACCUAUUGUGGCUUCAAACAAUCUUUCUGAAGGUUUUGUAUUCACAUCAGCCUUUAAGAAAGUGAAGUUUUUAGAAACACAAUAAUUUAACAACAGAAUUACACAUCUGAGUUUAAAUGAAUAUUGAGCCAGCUGUUUAAAUGUAAAAUAAAUCUGUUCCUACCAAUAAUCCUAGAAAUAUACUUUAAAAACCACAUACUAUCUACCUAAGUAAAAGCAAACUCAAGUAAUGACACAGAACCUGGGUGUCGUGUUGGUAGGGAGACUCCUGGCAAUGUGAAAUCAGAAUGGUUGCUUAAACAUCGUGAAUGGAUCAGGGAACACCAGCUCCCCAGCACCACAAUCUCCCAUCUAAGAUCUCUUGCUUGGCAUAGAGCUGCCUGCUCUGCCCGAUAUUCAGUUUCUCUCAACAAAUGCAUCUUGAGAAUCAGAAUCAGGUUCUGUGCUGGAAACUGAAUAUUAAAUGACAUGGUCAAUGCUCUGGUGGGAAUGACAGUCCAGUGUUGAUUUUCUAUUUCCCAUCUUCCUUGUCCGUCCUCCUUGAAGCUGAUCAUGGCGAUCUUUCCCCAUUACUCAUUUGAUAUGUUUGUUGAGUGGUAUUCUGCACCAGUUAUGUGAACCACUUGUAAACAAAAACAAAAAGAUGCCACAGUUCCAUAGGUCCUAUAUUAGUUUCCUAGGGCUGCCAUAACAAGGUACCAUAAACCAGGUGGCUCAAACAACAGAAAUUCAUUGUCUUACAGUUUUGGAGGCUGGAAGUCUGAGGUCAAGGUGUCAGCAGGAGUGGUUCCUCCUGAUGGCUAUGAAGGAGAAACUGUUCCAUGCCCCUCUCCUAGCUUAUGGUAAUUUGCUGGCAGUCUUUGGCAUUCCUUGGUUUGUAGAUCUGUCUUUCACAUGGUGCUCUCUGUCUGUAUGUCUGUGUCAUACAGGAUUAGGAACCCGCCCUACUCUAGUAUGACCUCAUCUUAAUUAUAUCUGCAAUAAUAUUAUCCCAAAUAAGGUCACAUUCUGAGGUGCUGAGGGUUCAACAUAUGGAUUUUGAGGGGACACAAUUCAACCCAUAACAUGUCCUCAGUAGUCAUAAUUACAGAGCAAUAACCCUCUGUGCCUCAUAAAUAAAGCAAAUGUACUUUUCUCUCAAGAAUGAGAAUAUGUAGGGACAGAAUUAUUACAGUAGUCAGCCAACUUUUGAGUACUGUCAACUUUGUUCUGUAUGUGGCCUAGGAAGGGAUAAUUUAGAAACAACGUUUUAUGCAAAAGAAAGUAGAAAGAUUUCCUAGAGUGUCUGAAAUUUAUUCACUUAACAUACGUUUACUGGCCAUUGUUCUGAGCACUGAGGACACAGCUGUGAGCCACAUGGACAAAAAUCUCUCCCUUCAUAGUUAUCACAUUCGAAUGAAGGGAGACAGCAAAUAAACAAAACUAGCAAGUAAAUCACAGUACUUUAGUAGGCAUCAAAUGCUAUGAAGCCCAGGUAA